RNAcentral lists this ribosomal RNA (469 nucleotides) under uncultured bacterium. RNAcentral's name for it is "bacterial SSU rRNA". It matches the Rfam family "Bacterial small subunit ribosomal RNA", at positions 32 to 507 of the family's 1533-position model. The record is from RNAcentral.
GACAACGCUGGCGGCGUGCUUAAUACAUGCAAGUCGAACGGAGCCUAGCCGGUAGUUUACUACAGGCGAAAGCUUAGUGGCGGACGGGUGAGUAACGCGUGGGCAAUCUGCCCCUAAGUCCGGGAUAACAGAGCGAAAGUUCUGCUAAGACCGGAUACUCUUCCUUGGUCGCAUGGCGGAGGAAGGAAAGGAUACGCUUAGGGAUGAGCCCGCGUCCCAUUAGCUAGUUGGUGAGGUAACGGCCCACCAAGGCGACGAUGGGUAGCCGGCCUGAGAGGGUGGACGGCCACACUGGGACUGAGACACGGCCCAGACUCCUACGGGAGGCAGCAGUAGGGAAUUUUCCGCAAGUGGGGGAAACCCUGACGGAGCAACGCCGCGUGAGGGAAGAAGGCCUUCGGGUCGUAAACCUUUGUCAUCGAGGACGAUAAUGACGGUACUCGAGGAGGAAGCCCCGGCUAACUACGUG